This is a long non-coding RNA of Astatotilapia calliptera (eastern happy), 1194 nucleotides long. The record is from Ensembl. NCBI's taxonomy places the organism in Eukaryota, Metazoa, Chordata, Actinopteri, Cichliformes, Cichlidae.
CAUGUAGAUGCUCCACAUCAGGUGUGGUAUGUGAGCUGGAGGUGGUGGAGCUGAGAUAAAGCUGCUCAGCUCUGCCAGAUGAAGUGCCGCCACUUCUGACCUGCUGCAGUCCAGACACUCUGAGAGUGCUCAACCAGUUGGUGGAUGGUCUGAAGGACGGUCGGGCCACACUGCCAGAGUCCCUGCCCGUCCCCCUGCAGGAGGGAGGGGAGCUCCGCUGGGCGGCCGAGUUCAUCUGUUUGAACGAUCAGAAGCUGAAAGAGUUGAGUGACGGCUGGGACCGGCCCGAGCUGCCCCCAGAGGUUCUGCUGGAGGUUCUGUGCCUCGCUGUGCAGGGACUCAGCCUCCUGAUGCAGCCCACAACAAACCCUUAAUGUCAGCUGCUGUGAUCUUUGUUAACCUGUUUUCACAGCAGCGUUCUGCAUCUUUGAACGUUUCUGCCAUUGUUUCCUGAACUUUCAUCUGUCAAAGAUCAAAAACAAAAAGAAUAAUCUAAUAAAAUAUAUAUAUAUUUUUAAAUAAAUAAAACUUCAUACUUUUAUGUUCGGCUCAUGGUUUUAAUAUUUUAUUAGUUUUUGCUGCACUCCUUUAUGUUCUGUCCUGUUCCCUCCUCUGUGCCCCUGACCCUGUUUCCAUGCUUGUUUACUGUUAGUUAUUUUUACAAUAUUGAUAUAGAACUAAUCUCUUGAAAUAUCAUAUAUCAGAUUUGGUACUUGAGAGACAAGAAAAAGAAGUGACAGCAUGCAGAGAAGGAGGCUAAACAUUGUGCCCUCUGCUCCAGAGACAGUCCUCACAAACAGGCGAUAGAAACUGUAGGGUCAGAGUCUGGACUGAACCUGUCAAGAGUAUUUUUGUUUUUAAAGGUUUUAUUAUUCAUAUAAUAAUCAGCUAAGAGUGUUUAUAUUUCUGUCUUGUACUCAACCAGCUGCAUAUUUUAAUUGCUGGCUCUCUACUCUGUAACGGAAACUGUUUGCCUUCACAUUAAUUGUCAGCAGCAGGAAACCGCCACCCAAGAGCAAGAAACAACCUUGUAGAGAAUACAAAGUUCUUGAGAAAUCCCACCUGCUUGCUUGACAAGAUAAGCAUGAUAUUUCCUUUUUUGUAUGCUUCCUGUUGUGUAUAAAUAAAGGCAGCGAGCUGCUCCACGGUGUGUGAGUCUCCCCCUGAGUCUCUCACCCGUGCACGUUAAACUGC